Molecule: long non-coding RNA, 1369 nt
Organism: Triticum aestivum (bread wheat)
Lineage: Eukaryota; Viridiplantae; Streptophyta; Magnoliopsida; Poales; Poaceae
Exons: 4
Source: RefSeq, a predicted model, not a curated record
CAGCCCAAACCCUAGCUCAGAUCCCCCCAUCUCCUCGCCGCCGCCGGCCCCUCCCGAUCCUGUCCUCCGCCUCACCCCCUCCUCUCCCCUCAACCAAGGACGACGGAGAUCCAGUCCUCACCCCACGCGGCAACCCUUCCUCCCACCCACCGCCGACCUCGCCGUCCUCCUCACCCACCGCCCACCUCGUCCCUCCCUCCCCUCACCAUCUCUCCCUACCCUCUGCCUGCUUCCCCUGCCUCAUCCCCAGAUCCAAUCGACACAACCCCGCUGCCCCCGCACCCCGUACUGUCCACCAUGGCCGCCUCCUCCUCCUCCCCGCACCAACCCAUCACCCCGUCGUGGGGGCGCGUCCGUGGCGGCUACCCUUCCACGCCGUCUCCGUCCGCCCCUGCCGCUCCACAGUCUCCUCCGAAUCCGCAUCCUCCCCGCAGCAGGCGCCGGCACCGGUCGGCGGCGACGACGCCAACGGGCCCACCGGCGUGCCCGUGCCCUUCUCCCGUGCCCUCCCGGGCGGCGGCGGCAGUUGGGUGAGCGGUGGAGGAGGUGUGUCCGGCGCUAAACGAGCACGCUGACGUGGUGGCGGAGCUCUUCGGCCGCGUCUCCACCGAGCUCCGCGGCGGGUUCGGCCCCGUCGUCGACUCCUUCGUCGGCUUCUUCCACGCCGUCGACUAGAAGGGCCGCUGACGAGCGCGGACCAUCGAGAUCAAGGCUGUCGAGCUACAAACAACAUAAAUCUGAAUCCGUUCCUUCAGAAAAUUUCAUUCGGAACUGCAGAGCCGGCUGAUUGACUGACUGAAUCUGGUUUGACACAGACAAUUCAGGGCGACACGACGCUGACCUGGGACGUGACUGGUGUUGUGGUGGGACGUGAGGUACACGGAGAAGUCCAUGCCGGCCGACGAGGGCGCCUACACCAUUGUGGACAAGGUGGUGAACCCGCCGUUCGAGAAGAGGCCGAAGCAGUUCGGCAUAAGUGGUGCCCUGCCGCCCAAGAAGGACCUCCACCGGUUCGUCAAGUUGCCCAAGGUCAUCCGCAUCCAGCGCUAGCGCCGCAUCCUCAAAUAGCGCCUCAAGGCCCCCCCUGCGCUCCACCAGUUCACCCGCACCCUCAACAAGAACCUCGAUGUUGGCCUUCAUUCUUCAAAAGUUGGGUGCACAGGAGCUCUAGGAAGAAGAAUCCCGAAGAAAAACCACACCCAACAAUGCGUCUUAGCUCACUGGAGCUAGUUAUGUGUAUAUUUAGUAGUAUUUUAUAGCUGAAUACCAGAUUUGUACUAUGUAUGAUUGGAAUGUACUUUGCUUGGCUGUUGUAUGAAAUAUUAUGCCUUAUUGGCUCUUUUUUAAUCAAAUUAUAUAAUUGCACAAA